Non-coding RNA from Pelobates cultripes (western spadefoot toad), 233 nucleotides. NCBI's taxonomy places the organism in Eukaryota, Metazoa, Chordata, Amphibia, Anura, Pelobatidae. The record is from the annotation of a GenBank genome assembly.
CAAGCUAUUAGCAGAGCAGAAAAUAACAACCUCUAAAUUAAACAAAAUUUGCAAUAAAGGAAGUGUAAACAUUAGAUGACUUUUUACAUGAAGUGUUUAGGAAGGCUGUGUAAGUCACAUGCAGUUUGAGGACUUGCAACUGUCCUUUUAUCAUGACCUGACAAGGGCCAUACUCUAAUUAUGCAAACCUCUAAGCCUAUUUACAAGCCGAAUGAGUUCCACAUGGGUAGUCU